AAGAGGGUGGAGUGGGGGAGAGGUACAGAGAUGGAGGGGUGGAGAGUUGGAGGGGUGGAAAUGGAGGGGUAGAGAGAUGGAGGGUGGAGAUGGAGGGGUAGAGAGAUGGAGGGGUGGAGAUGGAGGUGUAGAUAAAUGGAGGGGUGGAGAUGGUAGGGGUAGAGAGAUGGAGGGGUACAGAGAUGGAGGGGUGGAGAUGGAGGGGUGGAGAGAUGGAGGGUAGAGAGAUGGAGGGGUGGAGAUGGAGGGGUAGGGAGAUGGAGGUAGGGUGGAUAGAUGGAGGGGUAGAGAGAUGGAGGGGUGGAGAGAUGGAGGGGGUGGAGGGGGAGAUGGAGGUAGGAUGGAGAGAUGGAGUGGGGGAGAUGGAGGUAGGGUGGAGAGAUGUUGGUAUAUGGAGUGGGGGAGAUGGAGGUAGGGUGGAGAGAUGUUGGUAGGGUGGAGAGAUGGAGUGGGGAGAUGGAGGUAGGGUGGAGAGAUGUUGGUAGGGUGGAGAGAUGGAGUGGGGAGAUGGAGGUGGGGUGGAGAGAUGUUGGUAGGGUGGAGAGAUGGAGUGGGGGAGAUGGAGGUAGGGUGGAGAGAUGGAGUGGGGAGAUGGAGGUAGGAUGGAGAGAUGGAGGUAGUGUGGAGAGAUGGAGGGGUAGAUAGAUGUAGGUAGAAAAAGUGUAUAGCCAUUCCCUGGUUCCUGAGGAUCCUCUACCAUAAUCCCUCUCUCAUUCUCUCUUCUACUACUCCUCUUUCUCUCACAUGCACACACUCUCCCUUUAUCUGC
Long non-coding RNA from Oncorhynchus tshawytscha (Chinook salmon), 769 nucleotides. NCBI's taxonomy places the organism in Eukaryota, Metazoa, Chordata, Actinopteri, Salmoniformes, Salmonidae. The record is from Ensembl.